GAUGAAGAACGCAGCGAAAUGCGAUAAUUAAUGUGAAUUGCAGAAUUCCGUGAAUCAUCGAGUCUUUGAACGCACAUUGCGCCUCAUGGCAUUUCGUGAGGCAUGCCCAUCUCAGCGUUAGAAAAUAUUCUCAAAUUUUAGUUUUGUGCUAAAAUUUGGAUCAUGUCAAGGAAGCUAUUACUAUUAUUGUGAUCGCUCUUUGGAAAUUGAUAGGUCUUUGAGUUGCUACUCAUAGAACGUGAUGAAUCUUUCUUCGUUCUAUUGUAAUUCACUCUGGUAGUCCUAAAACUUGUAUGCCUGUGGCAUAUCUUGUAAUUUGACCUGAGAUUGGGUAGGGAUACCCGCUGAACUUAAGCAUAUCAAUAAGCGGAGGA
Molecule: unclassified non-coding RNA, 374 nt
Filed under: soil metagenome
Description: partial contains internal transcribed spacer 2 and large subunit ribosomal RNA
Rfam family: 5.8S ribosomal RNA (bases 1-120)
Source: RNAcentral